Molecule: unclassified non-coding RNA, 379 nt
Filed under: uncultured Alphaproteobacteria bacterium
Lineage: Bacteria; Pseudomonadati; Pseudomonadota; Alphaproteobacteria
Description: contains 16S-23S intergenic spacer region
Source: RNAcentral
UCGCGGCUUAUCACCGGCAGUCCCCUUAGAGUGCCCAACUGAAUGAUGGCAACUAAGGGCGAGGGUUGCGCUCGUUGCGGGACUUAACCCAACAUCUCACGACACGAGCUGACGACAGCCAUGCAGCACCUGUGUCCACGCCCCUUGCGGGGAGGAAUCCAUCUCUGGAAGCCGUCGUGGGAUGUCAAGGGCUGGUAAGGUUCUGCGCGUUGCUUCGAAUUAAACCACAUGCCCCACCGCUUGUGCGGGCCCCCGUCAAUUCCUUUAUGUUUUAGUCUUGCGACCGUACUCCACAGGCGGGAUACUUAAUGCGUUAACUGCGCCACUAAGAACUCGAGGCUCCCAACGGCUAGUCGACAUCGUUUACGGCGUGGACUAC